This 395-nucleotide ribosomal RNA is filed under the name Draco walkeri. RNAcentral describes it as "partial small subunit ribosomal RNA". Lineage: Eukaryota; Metazoa; Chordata; Lepidosauria; Squamata; Agamidae. The record is from RNAcentral.
AAACUGGGAUUAGAUACCCCACUAUGCCUGACUGUAAACUACAAGCCAAAAAAGUACGAGCCACACUUGAAACUUAAAGGACCUGGCGGUACUCUACACCGACCUAGAGGGGCCUGUCCUAUAAUCGAUAAUCCACGAAAAACCCAACCAUCUCUUGCCAUACAGCCUAUAUACCGCCGUCUCCAGCACAUUUUCCAAAAAAUGAAGCUAAACAGUCCUACACACAAGCACGUCAGGUCAAGGUGUAGCUCAUGAGGUGGAAGAGGCGGACCACAAUACCACAACACACAAAAACCACGUUGAAACAUGAGGAAGAAGAAGAAUUUAGCAGUAAGUGAAGGUCGAAUGCCCCACUGAACCCCGCCCUAGAGUACGCACACACCGCCCGUCACCCU